Molecule: long non-coding RNA, 535 nt
Organism: Salvia miltiorrhiza (redroot sage)
Lineage: Eukaryota; Viridiplantae; Streptophyta; Magnoliopsida; Lamiales; Lamiaceae
Exons: 2
Source: RefSeq, a predicted model, not a curated record
UUUUGAAUUGCUUUAAAGUUGAAAUUGAAUUGCUUCAGUUCAGCCUUGACGCGCGCCUCCACUCUUCCAUUCUUCCUUCAGCUACCUCCGAUCCCGCACCAGUCACCACCUCCAGCCACGCCGCCGCGCCGCGCCUCCCCCCUCCGGCGCAUCCAAUCCAAUCUGUCUCCCACCAGGCAACCACGUCGCUUCCCACCUGAGCCCAGCGCCAUCGCGCCCCAACUCCUCUCCAUCUCCCACCGCCGCGCCUCUUCCCACCUGAACUGAGCGGCUAUCGCCGCCGUCAGCUGCUUCUAGUCCGCCGCAAUUGCCUCUCACUCCCUCUACUCCGGUGUUAAAGAUGGAGGACUCAUCUCCAAGUGUUGAUAUGGAGAGUGGUGAAGAAGAUGUCAAAAUUCUUGAAGAUGGAAAGCCUAAGAAUAUCUUAUAUUUUUGUAUUUCAUGCUUUGUUAUAUAAUUUAUAUCUAUGUAUAUUUUGUACAUUAUAUAUUAGAUCAUUAAGAAUAAUAAAAUACAAAUGAUAAUUUUAUUUUUA